RNAcentral lists this small nucleolar RNA (130 nucleotides) under Prolemur simus (greater bamboo lemur). Its description in RNAcentral is "Small nucleolar RNA SNORA17 (ENSPSMG00000017862.1)". It matches the Rfam family "Small nucleolar RNA SNORA17". From Rfam's summary of the family: snoRNA ACA 17 belongs to the H/ACA family of snoRNAs and is predicted to guide pseudouridylation of the 28S rRNA at positions U4659 and U4598. It shares the same host gene together with ACA43. NB This family has a high threshold value to exclude a large number of closely related sequences that do not appear to have conserved H and ACA boxes, and may be pseudogenes. The record is from Rfam by way of RNAcentral. Lineage: Eukaryota; Metazoa; Chordata; Mammalia; Primates; Lemuridae.
ACUUCCCCUAGAAGCCUUGCAGAUGCUGCUGUUGUGUCACAUUUGUGUCACUAAGUGGCAGAGAGAAGAGAGGCUAUGUCUACAUUCAGUGUUCUGACCCAUGAACGUUUGAAUGAUUUAGUCUGACAUA